UUAGUACUCCAGACGGUCGCGGGAAAUGAUUACAUUUCGUGAGGAAAGUCCGAGCUUCGCAGGGCAGGGUGCUAGGUAACUCCUAGCGGAAGCGAUUCCAGGGACAGUGCAACAGAAAGCAAACGGCGCAUUCGGCUUGUCCGCGCGCGCAAAGGUGAAACGGCGAGGUAAGAGCUCACCGGCGAUUAGGCGACUAAUCGGCUAUGUAAACCCCACCUGAAGCAACACCGACCGAGAGGGUUGCCCGCCCGAAACGCGGGAACAGAACGGCAAAAUUGCCGUUUUGCUACCGCGUUUCACUCUCGAAGGGUGGCUAAAGCUAUGGCGAAAUCCAUGGCGUAGAUAGAUGACCGUCCAAUACAGAACUCGGCUUACAGGAGUGCUAAGAAA
RNAcentral lists this RNase P RNA (390 nucleotides) under Clostridiales bacterium. RNAcentral's name for it is "RNase P RNA component class A". It matches the Rfam family "Bacterial RNase P class A". From Rfam's summary of the family: Ribonuclease P (RNase P) is a ubiquitous endoribonuclease, found in archaea, bacteria and eukarya as well as chloroplasts and mitochondria. Its best characterised activity is the generation of mature 5'-ends of tRNAs by cleaving the 5'-leader elements of precursor-tRNAs. The record is from RNAcentral. Lineage: Bacteria; Bacillati; Bacillota; Clostridia; Eubacteriales.